This 977-nucleotide unclassified non-coding RNA is filed under the name Leishmania donovani. Its description in RNAcentral is "gene:unknown". Lineage: Eukaryota; Euglenozoa; Kinetoplastea; Trypanosomatida; Trypanosomatidae. The record is from RNAcentral.
GGCUGCACGGCGUGAACGUCGGCUUGUACGGGGUGCUGCAGCGAUGCUGCGUCAGAAGAAGCAAACGAGGGCGGCCCGCGGCUGUCCGAAAGCGGCGGCUGUAUUCGACCCCGUUGCGUACGCAGCCUCCAUCGCAAUUUCUGCCGCGGAGAAACGGUUACGCGCGCCGCACGUGCGGGGUGCAUCUUCUUCAACGGCCCGUCCCUCCUCUCCUCAGCGGCCACUGAGGAAAGGCGCCCUCGACGAGGCUCCGGAAGAGGCUGCUGUAGCCAGCUCUCACACAGCGAGCGCCUCUGUGUUGUGCCGCUCUGUCUUUCCUGAACUCACUGCAUCCGCCGAAGGUCCGCGCACCCUGCUUGAAGAGCUGGCCUGUUCGUCCGACUCAAGCAUGAGCGUGAUCGCCAACACGCCGCCGAUGCUCACCUGUGCGACACCCCACAACCACACACCAGUGGACGCCUCACGCAGCGCCUCUGUGCGCUCGUUGUCCCCGCCCGCACCGCCUACUCCAAACAUCCCUAGAUAUCUGGCGCACUUGGCGACUCGCACCGAAUCACCACCGUCAGAGCAGGAAGAAGCGCCCACUGCUGAGAUCAAUGAGGAUGACGAUGGAACCGUGUCUCUGCGGGAUGCCUCCCCUCUGCGGGAGCACAGCGUUCCGGGUAGCGUAAGCAUCCGAUAUCACACAUGCACUAUGGAGUCGGUUCACUCAAUCGUGCGGCAGCUUAAUUUUUCUCUGUACAAAUAGACGCGCGCUCGCGCUUUCCUCUGGACACUUGCUGGUACGUCUUCUACUCACACUCUCCUUUUUUUUUUAACAGUCUUGCGGAGGGGGUGGUGGAGAGGGACAGCCAAGUUCCUCGCAUCGCUGCCUCUCAUCCCUCUUUUGUUUGGCGCGUCAGCCUCGAGGUUUGUGACCAUCACUCAUGAGUGGUGAGCGCGGACCCCUAGAGCACGCCUCAUAGGCCUCUCGUAAG